CAGCAGCCGCGGUAAGACAGAGGUCCCGAGCGUUGUUCGGAUUCAUUGGGCGUAAAGGGUGUGUAGGAGGUCGGGUAAGUCAGGUGUGAAAUCUCACAGCUUAACUGUGAAACUGCGCUUGAUACUGCUCGGCUAGAGGAUCGGAGGGGGUAACGGAAUUUAUGGUGUAGCAGUGAAAUGCGUAGAUAUCAUAAGGAACACCGGUGGCGAAGGCGGUUACCUGGAAGAUUCCUGACUCUGAAACACGAAAGCCAGGGGAGCAAACGGGAUUAGAGACCCCGGUAGUCCCUGUCUCUUAUAC
Molecule: ribosomal RNA, 301 nt
Filed under: uncultured bacterium
Lineage: Bacteria
Description: partial 16S ribosomal RNA
Rfam family: Bacterial small subunit ribosomal RNA
Source: RNAcentral